Molecule: ribosomal RNA, 460 nt
Filed under: uncultured bacterium
Lineage: Bacteria
Description: partial 16S ribosomal RNA
Rfam family: Bacterial small subunit ribosomal RNA
Source: RNAcentral
CCUACGGGUGGCAGCAGUGAGGAAUAUUGGUCAAUGAGCGGGAGCCUGAACCAGCCAAGUCGCGUGAGGGAAGACGGUCCUAUGGAUUGUAAACCUCUUUAGGCGGGGAGCAAUGCCGGGCACGUGUGCCCGGAGGGAGAGUACCUGCAUAAUAAGCAUCGGCUAACUCCGUGCCAGCAGCCGCGGUAAUACGGAGGUUGCGAGCGUUAUCCGGAUUGAUUGGGUUUAAAGGGUGCGUAGGCGGAUUUUUAAGUCAGCGUUAAAAGCCCGGGGCUCAACCCCGGCGAGCCGUUGAAACUGUCGGACUAGAGACGGCGAGAGGUAAGCGGAAUGCGCGGUGUAGCGGUGAAAUGCAUAGAUAUCGCGCAGAACUCCGAUGGCGAAGGCAGCGUACCGGCGCCGGACUGACGCUGAGGGACGAAAGCGUGGGUAUCGAACAGGAUUAGAUACCCCAGUAGUC